ACGAUCCAAAGCAUAGGUUUUCAUCCCUGACCAUCUUGGUAAUAACCAUUGAUGAACCUGUCCUUCAUGAUGAAUUUAUCUAAUUCUUUAUUGAACCC
Dermochelys coriacea (leatherback sea turtle) is the source of this 98-nucleotide long non-coding RNA. RefSeq lists it as uncharacterized. The record is from RefSeq and is a predicted model, not a curated record. Lineage: Eukaryota; Metazoa; Chordata; Testudines; Dermochelyidae. The transcript has 3 exons.